This 1205-nucleotide ribosomal RNA is filed under the name Amblyomma nuttalli. Its description in RNAcentral is "16S ribosomal RNA". Lineage: Eukaryota; Metazoa; Arthropoda; Arachnida; Ixodida; Ixodidae. The record is from RNAcentral.
UAAUAAAAAAUUAUAAUUUUUAUAAUACUUGAAAAAUUUAAAAUUUUUAAUUAAUUUAAAUAAUCUCAAACUGAAAAGGAAUUAAUAAAUUAUUUUUUAAAAAGUAAAUUUUAUGUACCUUUAGUAUUAGGGUUUUUCAAAAUAAUAUAAAAAUUUAUUUUUCUCGAAAUAAAUAGAUCUAAAUUUUUGGGAAAUAAUUUGUUUCAAAAAAUUAAUAAAAUAAAAUUUAGAAGUGAAAUUCUUUUCAAAAUUUAUGAUAACUAGUUUUUUUAAAAAAAUUUAAAAUUUUUCUAUUAAAAAUAGAUAAUAAUUAUAUUUAAUAGGUUAAUUUCUUUGGGAUAAGCUAGAGAAAAUUUUUAUAAUAAAUUUUUAAAUUUUAUAAAAAGGAAUAAAAUUUUCUUGUUAAUUUUUAUAAGUAAUUUAAAGUAAUUUUUAAAUAAUUAAAUAUUUUAAAAAAAAAAUUAAUUUUCAUUUUUUAUAAAAAUGAAAAAAUUAGUAAAAUUUAAUAUUAAUAUAAAAAUAUUUAAAUAUAAAGAAGUAAUAAUAAAUAAUUUUAAAGAAUUAGGCAAAAAUUUUUUCUGACUGUUUAUUAAAAACAUUUUAUUUAGAUAAUAUAUUAAAUAUAAAUUCUGCUCAAUGAAAUAUUUUUAAAUUGCUGUGGUAUUUUGACUAUACAAAGGUAUUGAAAUAAGACUUUAAUUGAGUGCUAAGAGAAUGGAUUUUCAGAAAAUUUCUUUUUUAAAAUUAAUAAUUUAAUUUAUUUUUGUUUGUGAAGAAGCAACAAUAAAAAUUUAGGACAAGAAGACCCUAAGAAUUUUUAAAAAAUAAUUUUAAAUUUAAAAUUAUUUUUUUUAAUUGGGGCGAUUAAUAAAUAUAACUAACUUUAUUUAAAAUAAAUAUGAACCAUUAUUAAUGGUUAAAUGAAUAAAAAUACUCUAGGGAUAACAGCGUAAUAAUUUUUGAUAGUUCUUAUAGACAAAAUAGUUUGCGACCUCGAUGUUGGAUUAGGAUUCUUAUUUAAUGAAGAAGUUAAAAAAAGAAGUUUGUUCAACUUUUAAAUUCCUACAUGAUCUGAGUUUAGACCGAUGAGAAUCAGGUUGGUUUCUAUCUUAAUUUAUAAAAAAAUUCAAUUUAGUACGAAAGGAAUAAUUGAAUAAAAUUAUUUUUUAAGAUCCCUAAAAUUUUUGCAUCAAUUUUUGGAAUUA